UACUCCUACUCAGUGAAAGCUUCCUGU
Molecule: non-coding RNA, 27 nt
Filed under: Homo sapiens (human)
Lineage: Eukaryota; Metazoa; Chordata; Mammalia; Primates; Hominidae
Source: RNAcentral